This 262-nucleotide long non-coding RNA is filed under the name Brassica napus (rape). RNAcentral describes it as "long non-coding RNA (BNAP_LNC003917)". The record is from RNAcentral. Lineage: Eukaryota; Viridiplantae; Streptophyta; Magnoliopsida; Brassicales; Brassicaceae.
UAUUGAGGGUAACGGUUGGUUAUCGCUAUUAAUCCUAAGAUCUAAAAUGAGGGUGAUCAAUCCUGAUUUUAGCACUAAGCUCAACAAGCAUGAAAGAACAAUCAAAACACCUUUUUAACAGUCUUAUUAGUAGCACAUACUUUUAACCUUAAUAAAAAACCUAAGUCUAACAAUUGGGUUUACUCAGACAUAUUCAUGAGAGAGAAACUCAUGUUGGUUUGAAUAAAACUCAAAUGAAAUAUUGAACACAGAAAGUAAGAGU